RNAcentral lists this ribosomal RNA (506 nucleotides) under [Brenneria salicis] LMG 6381. RNAcentral describes it as "bacterial SSU rRNA". It matches the Rfam family "Bacterial small subunit ribosomal RNA", at positions 157 to 645 of the family's 1533-position model. The record is from RNAcentral. Lineage: Bacteria; Pseudomonadati; Pseudomonadota; Gammaproteobacteria; Enterobacterales; Enterobacteriaceae.
CGGUAGCUAAUACUCCUCCUGACGUCUUCGGACCAAAUGUGGGGGACCUUCNGGCCUCACGCCAUGAGAUGAACCCAGAUGGGAUUAGCUCGGCCGCUGAGGUAACGGCUCACCUAGGCGACGAUCCCUAGACUGGUCUGAGAGGAUGACCAGCCACACUGGAACUGAGACACGGUCCAUACUCCUACGGGAGGCAGCAGUGGGGAAUAUUGCACAAUGGGGGAAACCCUGAUGCAGCCAUGCCGCGUGUGUGAAGAAGGCCUUCGGGUUGUAUAGCACUUUCAGCGGGGGAGGAAGGGGAUGAGGAUAAUAGCCUUAUUCAUUGACGUUACCCGCUAGAAGAAGCAACCGGUCUAACUCCGUGCCAGCAGCCGCGGGUAAUACGGAGGGUGCAAGCGUUAAUCGGAAUGACUGGGCGUAAAGCGCACGCACGCGGUCUGUUAAGUUGGAUGUGAAAUCCCCGGGCUUAACCCCGGGAACAGCUAUUCUAAACUUGACAGGCCUAG